RNAcentral lists this ribosomal RNA (450 nucleotides) under uncultured bacterium. Its description in RNAcentral is "partial 16S ribosomal RNA". It matches the Rfam family "Bacterial small subunit ribosomal RNA", at positions 354 to 796 of the family's 1533-position model. The record is from RNAcentral.
GUGGGGAAUCUUAGACAAUGGGGGCAACCCUGAUCCAGCCAUUCCGCGUGAGUGAAGAAGGCCUUCGGGUUGUAAAGCUCUUUCGGCAGGAACGAAACGGUGAGCUCUAACAUAGCUCGCUAAUGACGGUACCUGAAGAAGAAGCACCGGCUAACUACGUGCCAGCAGCCGCGGUAAUACGUAGGGUGCGAGCGUUAAUCGGAAUUACUGGGCGUAAAGCGUGCGCAGGCGGUUGUGUAAGACAGGUGUGAAAUCCCCGGGCUUAACCUGGGAACUGCGCUUGUGACUGCACGGCUAGAGUAUGGCAGAGGGGGGUGGAAUUCCACGUGUAGCAGUGAAAUGCGUAGAGAUGUGGAGGAACACCGAUGGCGAAGGCAGCCCCCUGGGCCAAUACUGACGCUCAUGCACGAAAGCGUGGGGAGCAAACAGGAUUAGAAACCCCGGUAGUCC